UACGGAGGGUGCGAGCGUUGUCCGGAAUCACUGGGCGUAAAGGGCGCGUAGGCGGCCUGAUAAGUAGGGGGUGAAAUCCUGCGGCUUAACCGCAGGGCUGCCUUCUAAACUGUCAGGCUCGAGCACAGUAGGGGCAGGUGGAAUUCCCGGUGUAGCGGUGGAAUGCGUAGAGAUCGGGAAGAACAUCAGUGGCGAAGGCGGCCUGCUGGGCUGUUGCUGACGCUGAGGCGCGACAGCGUGGGGAGCAAACAGG
Molecule: ribosomal RNA, 253 nt
Filed under: uncultured bacterium
Lineage: Bacteria
Description: partial 16S ribosomal RNA
Rfam family: Bacterial small subunit ribosomal RNA
Source: RNAcentral